This 2501-nucleotide long non-coding RNA is filed under the name Homo sapiens (human). Its description in RNAcentral is "HSALNT0307264". Lineage: Eukaryota; Metazoa; Chordata; Mammalia; Primates; Hominidae. The record is from RNAcentral.
CUUCGCCAGAUAGAUUAGCUGGAACCGCCAGCCCUAGCUUGGAGUUCCGUUCCACGGAGUACCCUCCCUCCCCACCCCCAGCGUCAUCUCGCGCCUGGAGCCGGGUCGCCGCUCCUUCCGAAGUCUCGCUGGAAACUUCAAGGGCUGAUGGUUCUGUGUUCUUGACGUAAUUAGGAGGCCACGCAGCUCUCCAACACUCCGUUAAACAAAUAUACUCCUGCAGGCUCAGAUUUGAAGAGGGAAGGUUCCAGCCAAGUCCACCUUAAGCCUGAGUUUGGGCGACUACAGAAUCCAGGAAGAAAAUCUAGAUGGCAUGGUCGCUCCGGUCUCAGUUCUACAGGGGAGGGAAGAAAGGGGGUGUUAGUGGGGAUAUUUGCUGUUCAUUUUUCCCGCAAUCUCCCUUCCAAAUCAGUCACUGAUUAAUGAGCAAAGCCCAUGCCACAAGUUAUAGAUUACUGUGGACUGAGGAUCAUUUUGUUAAUAUCAGGCAAGAAACUUGCCUUACUUGCAUCCCUGUGUCUGUAUUUACAGUAACAACUUCCUUAGUCACAAACUGAUAUGCUUUUAGCCAUACCUUUUCUUCUUACUUACUUAUUUUUAGCAUCAUCAGGAGUUGGGAUAGGAAAUAACAUGGGGGAGGGGUGUGUUAAAGGGAAGGAAGGAAAAGCCAUCCUUUAUCCCAGAGUGUCCUGGAGGUAUGCCUACACUCCUGUUUAACAUCUUGUGGUUGUAGUGCCUUCUCCAAGCCCUGGAUGGAGGAGGAAAGAGUUGGAAGCCUCCUCAAAUCUGCCUAUGAAAGGGUAAAACUGAGGAAACUGGUACCCUAGCUAUGAGAAGCUGAGUAAUGAUCAGAAUCCUCUGGCCUCUGGCUUUUCUUGAUAUUAGUUCAGGUCUAUGCAAAAAAAUUGCUUUAGUGUCUCCAAAGGUGGUUCCAUUAGAGUUGGCUGAGACAAUACAUGUGCAUCAUUUUGGAAGAGAUGCUCUUAAAAAGAAGAAAGCCACUACAGAAUGCCACAUUUGCUUAGGUCUAAGACCCUUCUGUGGUAGUCGGUGAGGGAGGGAGGAAAGUAAAACCCCAAGCUGAAUAGGCCCCCCAUAGUUUCCGAGUGAUGCAGUAAACAAAUCUAUGAUGCUUGUUGAAUAAUCUUCCAAUAAUUGCAGUCAUUAAAAUCAUCACACAGUCUACAGUCACCUUCCUUCCUUUGACACACCAGUCUUUCCCUUAAUUGUUAAUGCAUUUUUGGCUCAGAUAAACACAUAGAGGCCAGCUUAAAAUAUAUGGCCCAGAUACAUCUAACAGCAGAAAAUUAGUUGUGUAACAAACGUUUGGACUGUGCUUAAUAGACUAGGGGUUUUCAAUUUCUUCAGCAGACCCUACAGAGGCAAGAAAGAUUUGCAUCUUCUACCACUGCUAAAUAGCAGUGACGCCUCUGAGAUACAAAAAAAAAAAAAAAAGAAAAAAAAGAUGAAAGUCCCAUUGGCCUAUUGAAUCUUCCUUGCUCUUUCAUUUGCAAGGGUUGGGCUGGAAUUAGGACAUUAUAGAACAAAUAUUAAAGGAAAGCUUAACAGAAACUGUGGGAGAGUUCCUCAAUUUUCAAUUAAUUUUCUCCAUCCAUUUGAUCUCAACAACUGGUGCUUUAAAAAAUAUAAAUAUGUGUCAACUAUAAAAGAUUCCCUGCUAAUCAAAGGCUGUAUUUCAUUUUCACCCACCACUGACAAGACACCAACCGUGGAAAGGAUUCACCCGACUCAACAGGCACUAUGGACCUUCCUGGGCUUCCUUCUCCCUUGUUCAUGGCAGGCAACAUUGGUACACAAGGGCAGCUUUUUCUUUUUUUAACUCAAGUUAUUAAUGUAUCUCCGCAACUCCCACACCGUGCUGACCUGAUAAUCACUGCUCUAGUGAAGAUCAUGCAAAUGAAAAGCAUAAUUAAUUGCACAAAUGAUUUAAAAAGGAGCGCUGUGGCUUUGCAAAUAAAUAAAGGCAGUUGGGAGGACAGGUCAGAUAAAUGCUUUUUAUAGGCUGGGCUCCCUUCACCCCCACCCCCGCCUCCUGGUCCCGGUGGUCCAGACUUUGACUGCAGCCAGCCUGGCCAAGGCGAGCACCUUCCGUUCCUCCUCCCCUAACGCCUCCCCUUCAACCUUAUUCCGGAGUCCCCCUAACUCCACCUCACCCCACCCCAACCUCACCCCACCCCAGUGGUGUAUACCCGCUGCUAGACUCUGUGCUAGGUCAAAGCUCCGGGGAGACUGGGCAGCCACCUAAUAUUUAACCAGCUACUACAUAUCCAGUUAUUCAGAAAAUAACUGGUCCUCCCAGUCGCCACUACGCUUCCUGCACAUCAGGAAGAAGCAUUUUAUCUGUGGCUAUUGGACCUGUGAAGGAGGUCCAAUCCUUCCGAUUAGCGCUAAUGACCGAAUUGUUUCCCUGGCUUUGCCUGCUAAACAGAGCAACUUGAGCAGUUGCUCAGAUCAAAGCUCCCGGGAGAGGCAAGAUGGGA